This 1436-nucleotide ribosomal RNA is filed under the name Microbacterium koreense. RNAcentral's name for it is "16S ribosomal RNA". It matches the Rfam family "Bacterial small subunit ribosomal RNA". The record is from RNAcentral. Lineage: Bacteria; Bacillati; Actinomycetota; Actinomycetes; Micrococcales; Microbacteriaceae.
GCUGGCGGCGUGCUUAACACAUGCAAGUCGAACGGUGAAAGCGGAGCUUGCUCCGCCGGAUCAGUGGCGAACGGGUGAGUAACACGUGAGCAAUCUGCCCCAGACUCUGGGAUAAGCGCUGGAAACGGCGUCUAAUACCGGAUACGAGCUACGAAGGCAUCUUCAGUAGCUGGAAAGAACUUCGGUCUGGGAUGAGCUCGCGGCCUAUCAGCUUGUUGGUGAGGUAACGGCUCACCAAGGCGUCGACGGGUAGCCGGCCUGAGAGGGUGACCGGCCACACUGGGACUGAGACACGGCCCAGACUCCUACGGGAGGCAGCAGUGGGGAAUAUUGCACAAUGGGCGCAAGCCUGAUGCAGCAACGCCGCGUGAGGGACGACGGCCUUCGGGUUGUAAACCUCUUUUAGCAGGGAAGAAGCCUUCGGGUGACGGUACCUGCAGAAAAAGCACCGGCUAACUACGUGCCAGCAGCCGCGGUAAUACGUAGGGUGCAAGCGUUAUCCGGAAUUAUUGGGCGUAAAGAGCUCGUAGGCGGUCUGUCGCGUCUGCUGUGAAAACCCGAGGCUCAACCUCGGGCCUGCAGUGGGUACGGGCAGACUAGAGUGCGGUAGGGGAGAUUGGAAUUCCUGGUGUAGCGGUGGAAUGCGCAGAUAUCAGGAGGAACACCGAUGGCGAAGGCAGAUCUCUGGGCCGUAACUGACGCUGAGGAGCGAAAGGGUGGGGAGCAAACAGGCUUAGAUACCCUGGUAGUCCACCCCGUAAACGUUGGGAACUAGUUGUGGGGUCCAUUCCACGGAUUCCGUGACGCAGCUAACGCAUUAAGUUCCCCGCCUGGGGAGUACGGCCGCAAGGCUAAAACUCAAAGGAAUUGACGGGGACCCGCACAAGCGGCGGAGCAUGCGGAUUAAUUCGAUGCAACGCGAAGAACCUUACCAAGGCUUGACAUAUACGAGAACGGGCCAGAAAUGGUCAACUCUUUGGACACUCGUAAACAGGUGGUGCAUGGUUGUCGUCAGCUCGUGUCGUGAGAUGUUGGGUUAAGUCCCGCAACGAGCGCAACCCUCGUUCUAUGUUGCCAGCACGUAAUGGUGGGAACUCAUGGGAUACUGCCGGGGUCAACUCGGAGGAAGGUGGGGAUGACGUCAAAUCAUCAUGCCCCUUAUGUCUUGGGCUUCACGCAUGCUACAAUGGCCGGUACAAAGGGCUGCAAUACCGCGAGGUGGAGCGAAUCCCAAAAAGCCGGUCCCAGUUCGGAUUGAGGUCUGCAACUCGACCUCAUGAAGUCGGAGUCGCUAGUAAUCGCAGAUCAGCAACGCUGCGGUGAAUACGUUCCCGGGUCUUGUACACACCGCCCGUCAAGUCAUGAAAGUCGGUAACACCUGAAGCCGGUGGCCCAACCUUUUGGAGGGAGCCGUCGAAGGUGGGAUCGGUAAUUAG